This 560-nucleotide ribosomal RNA is filed under the name Bacillus pumilus. RNAcentral describes it as "bacterial SSU rRNA". It matches the Rfam family "Bacterial small subunit ribosomal RNA", at positions 56 to 599 of the family's 1533-position model. The record is from RNAcentral. Lineage: Bacteria; Bacillati; Bacillota; Bacilli; Caryophanales; Bacillaceae.
UGCAAGUCGAGCGGACAGAAGGGAGCUUGCUCCCGGAUGUUAGCGGCGGACGGGUGAGUAACACGUGGGUAACCUGCCUGUAAGACUGGGAUAACUCCGGGAAACCGGAGCUAAUACCGGAUAGUUCCUUGAACCGCAUGGUUCAAGGAUGAAAGACGGUUUCGGCUGUCACUUACAGAUGGACCCGCGGCGCAUUAGCUAGUUGGUGAGGUAACGGCUCACCAAGGCGACGAUGCGUAGCCGACCUGAGAGGGUGAUCGGCCACACUGGGACUGAGACACGGCCCAGACUCCUACGGGAGGCAGCAGUAGGGAAUCUUCCGCAAUGGACGAAAGUCUGACGGAGCAACGCCGCGUGAGUGAUGAAGGUUUUCGGAUCGUAAAGCUCUGUUGUUAGGGAAGAACAAGUGCAAGAGUAACUGCUUGCACCUUGACGGUACCUAACCAGAAAGCCACGGCUAACUACGUGCCAGCAGCCGCGGUAAUACGUAGGUGGCAAGCGUUGUCCGGAAUUAUUGGGCGUAAAGGGCUCGCAGGCGGUUUCUUAAGUCUGAUGUGAAA